GAUGAACGCUAGCGGGAGGCCUAACACAUGCAAGCCGAGCGGUAUUUCUUCUUCGGGAGAGAGAGAGCGGCGUACGGGUGCGGAACACGUGUGCAACCUGCCUUUAUCUAGAGGAUAGCCUUUCGAAAGGAAGAUUAAUACUCUAUAAUAUAUUAAUUGGCAUCAAUUGAUAUUGAAAACUCCGGUGGAUAGAGAUGGGCACGCACAAGAUUAGCUAGUUGGUGAGGUAACGGCUCACCAAGGCAAUGAUCUUUAGGGGGCCUGAGAGGGUGAUCCCCCACACUGGUACGGAGACACGGACCAGACUCCUACGGGAGGCAGCAGUGAGGAAUAUUGGUCAAUGGGUGCAAGCUUGAACCAGCCAUCCCGCGUGAAGGAUUAAGGUCCUAUGGAUUGUAAACUUCUUUUGUAUAGGGAUAAACCUACCCUCGUUAGGGUAGCUGAAGGUACUAUACGAAUAAGCACCGGCUAACUCCGUGCCAGCCGCCGCAGUAA
Molecule: ribosomal RNA, 495 nt
Filed under: uncultured bacterium
Lineage: Bacteria
Description: partial 16S ribosomal RNA
Rfam family: Bacterial small subunit ribosomal RNA
Source: RNAcentral